This 315-nucleotide unclassified non-coding RNA is filed under the name uncultured fungus. RNAcentral's name for it is "sequence contains ITS1". The stretch from base 1 to 105 matches the Rfam family "5.8S ribosomal RNA", at positions 50 to 154 of the family's 154-position model. The record is from RNAcentral. Lineage: Eukaryota; Fungi.
AAACUGCGAUAAGUAGCGUGAAUUGCAGACGCUUUGAACGUUAAACUUUCGAACGCACAUUGCGCCAUAGGAGUCCUACCCUAUGGCACAUCUGGUUGAGGGUCGUGAUUAAAAACAGCAGGAAAAAUGCUGUAUCUUAUGACAAAUUGGUGCAUCAUGACUUCGGCUCGCCUGCCUAAGAGUCGAACGUGUUGUGCCAUCAUGAAACUAAGGCGAAACGACUUGCCCACUUCUUCGGAGGAGGGUAGGUGAAUUCCCUUGCCCCACGGAUGGGCAUAACGGCUGAGGACUAGUUCCGGCCCGUAGUGUACCAUA